GAAAUGCGAUAAGUAGUGUGAAUUGCAGAAUUCAGUGAAUCAUCGAAUCUUUGAACGCACAUUGCGCCCUCUGGCAUUCCGGGGGGCAUGCCUGUCCGAGCGUCAUUACGCACCCUCAAGCCCGGCUUGUGUGAUGGGCCCCGGCGUCUCGUUCGCGAGACGGGCCCGAAAGGCAGCGGCGGCGUCGACCCGAUGAGCCCGAGCGUAUGGGGACUUCUGUCACACGUUCGCAGUGCGGACCGGCGCCUGCUUGACUUUUCUGAUUAUCCAGGUUGACCUCGGAUCAGGUAGGGAUACCCGCUGAACUUAAGC
RNAcentral lists this unclassified non-coding RNA (312 nucleotides) under plant metagenome. RNAcentral's name for it is "partial contains 5.8S ribosomal RNA, internal transcribed spacer 2, and large subunit ribosomal RNA". The stretch from base 1 to 105 matches the Rfam family "5.8S ribosomal RNA", at positions 50 to 154 of the family's 154-position model. The record is from RNAcentral.